Long non-coding RNA from Mercenaria mercenaria, 1168 nucleotides. RefSeq lists it as uncharacterized. The record is from RefSeq and is a predicted model, not a curated record. Lineage: Eukaryota; Metazoa; Mollusca; Bivalvia; Venerida; Veneridae. The transcript is spliced from 2 exons.
UAUAAAAUAAAGAAGAACAGCUAUUUAGUGUGUUGUAACCUUAUGGAUGAUUGGGUUAAUAAUGUUCAGCGAUAGCUGGAUCUCAGCAUCACAUAUUAUGUUUUUUACAUAAUUUGUGCAACACGUUUAAAUAAAAUGAUUUUGAACAAUUCUCGGCGUAAUAUUAAUGUUUUUUGACAUGUAUGAAUUGUGUUUUCGCGGGUGGAAUAUCGAAAAGACAAUGGCAGAAUUAAUGUUUUCUGUCGUCACUUUCAAAAUAGAACUUGUAGAGAAAAGUUUGAAGUAUUGUUGAUCUAUUACUUUAUUAUUGAUAAUGCCUGGAAAUAAACGUAAAUCAGGGAGUGGGACUGUUAAAUAUGAACUAUUUCAAGAAGCUCCAGAAGGAGAAACAGUGACUCAGUAAUAGAGGAGACAGUGAGAUGUGAAAAGCGAGACGAAUCUGUGAAUGACAUUCUUCCUGGACAGGUACCCCUGAGAAAACGGUCACAAAUUCAGAAUCCCACCCAGCCAUGCUGGAUGGCCAAAGGAAAUCAGGCAUUGAUCCAAAAUGGAAACAAGCGUUUCCCUGGAUGACAGUCUCAAGAGAACGGCCAAGGUAUGUUGUGUUCAGUUUGUGUAAAGCACCAGAGAAGGCCAAAGAAGUGUGUUCCUGAUAGAGCCUUGUGGGUUAACUUGACAUUCAAUGUUCUUCAAUCAGGCAAUCAUCUUUAAUAAAUAAUAAAGACUCAGACUCACACAAGAAAGCAUUGGUAUUUGAUGUUGCGGAAGCAAAAACAGGUGGUGGGAUCGAGGCUUGUUUUGUGAGGGGUGAACCGUGAGGCAAUGACAGCAUCUAUGACACUGCUUUACUUUCCGUGUAAGGAGGAAAUUCCCCACACCACCAAAUACAAAGCUUUAGUUGAUGUAGCUAAGACAUUAGGAGUGGAUGUUCUAAAUAGUUGGAGAAGGGGGAUAACGCCAAGUACACAAAAUUGAUAAGUUUACGUUGUCAUUCAGCAAAUAAAUUCCACAGGAAUAGAAGACUGAAACUUUAAUGUGCAGUGCUAAAAUUGUGUUGUUUUAAAUUAUGUAAAAUAAAUAGUGGACAUUUUCAGAAACUUACAUAACUGGAUAAGUUUACAUUGUCAUUCAGCAAAUAAACUCCAGAGAAAUUUUUUAUGACACAUUA